AGUCAAGAGGAGCUUGCUUUUCUUGACUUAGUGGCGGACGGGUGAGUAACGCGUGGGUAACCUGCCUCACACUGGGGGAUAACGCAUCGAAAGAUGUGCUAAUACCGCGUAAGACCACAGCUUCACAUGGAGCGGGGGUCAAAGGAGCAAUCCGGAUAAAGAUGGGCUCGCGUCCGAUUAGAUAGUUGGUGAGGUAACGGCUCACCAAGUCGACGAUCGGUAGCCGGACUGAGAGGUUGAACGGCCACAUUGGGACUGAGACACGGCCCAAACUCC
Molecule: ribosomal RNA, 276 nt
Filed under: uncultured Eubacteriales bacterium
Lineage: Bacteria; Bacillati; Bacillota; Clostridia; Eubacteriales
Description: uncultured Clostridiales bacterium partial 16S ribosomal RNA
Rfam family: Bacterial small subunit ribosomal RNA
Source: RNAcentral